This 214-nucleotide long non-coding RNA is filed under the name Trifolium pratense (red clover). RNAcentral's name for it is "long non-coding RNA (TPRA_LNC012859)". Lineage: Eukaryota; Viridiplantae; Streptophyta; Magnoliopsida; Fabales; Fabaceae. The record is from RNAcentral.
AAGUUAAUUAGAGUAAUGAUAAUUAAGAGUUAAGACGUACAACAAUCUAGCUUAUAUAUAGAAGACAUACUGUGGUUUUUAUGAUGAGUAAGAUCUUGGAGGCCAUAUACAUUCACCAAGUAAUCUAGAUGCAUUCUCUUUUACAUAAGUGAUAUGGCUAAGACUUUUGCUUCUAUUAAAAGGAAUCAAGGAGGAAUAUGUAAUGUGCAUAUAU